Molecule: ribosomal RNA, 1806 nt
Filed under: human metagenome
Description: bacterial LSU rRNA
Rfam family: Bacterial large subunit ribosomal RNA
Source: RNAcentral
UGAACCAGUACCGUGAGGGAAAGGUGAAAAGAACCCCGGGAGGGGAGUGAAAGAGAACCUGAAACCCUGUGUCUACAAGCUGCGGAAGAGCGACUAACGCUCGACCGUGUACUUUUUGUAGAACGGUCCGGCGAGUUGCCGUUGCUGGCAGGUUAAGUACUUAAGGUACGGAGCCGAAGGGAAACCAAGUCUUAAUAGGGCGGUAAGUCAGUAACGGCAGACCCGAAACCGGGUGACCUACCCAUGGCCAGGAUGAAGUCUGCGUAAAAGUGGAUGGAGGUCCGAACACACGUCUGUUGAAAAAGGCGGUGAUGAGCUGUGGGUAGCGGAGAAAUUCCAAUCGAACUCGGAGAUAGCUGGUUCUCCCCGAAAUAGCUUUAGGGCUAGCCUCGGUAUAGUCUAAUGGAGGUAGAGCACUGAAUCGCUGCGGGGGCGUCAAAGUCUACCAAUGCGUAUCAAACUCCGAAUGCCAUAUAGAUGUUUACCGGGAGUCAGACUGUAUGAGAUAAGUCGGACAGUCAAAAGGGAAACAGCCCAGACCAUCUGCUAAGGUCCCAAAGUGUAUGUUAAGUGGUAAAGGAUGUGGGGUUUCGAAGACAACUAGGAUGUUGGCUCAGAAGCAGCCAUUCAUUCAAAGAGUGCGUAAUAGCUCACUAGUCGAGAGGUCCUGCGCCGAAAAUGUCCGGGGCUGAAACAUAACACCGAAGCAAUGGAAUAUACCGUAAGGUAUGUUGGUAGGGGAGCAUUGAUAACACGAAGAAGCGGUACCGUAAGGAGCCGUGGAGAGUUAUCAAGAGAGAAUGCCGGAAUGAGUAGCGAGAUGAAGGUGAGAAUCCUUCAGGCCGUAUAUCCAAGGUUUCCAGGGUAAAGCUGAUCUUCCCUGGGGAAGUCGGGACCUAAGCUCAGGCUGAGAAGCGUAGGCGAUGGACAACUGGUUGAUAUUCCAGUACCUCUGGCUAUCAGAAAUGUGGGGACACGGAGAUUCAGGGAGUGCCUGUAAAGGAUUCAGGUGCAAGCAUGGUUUAUGCCGGGCAGGCAAAUCCGUCCGGGUAAGUGAACUGUGUGAUGCGGACCGAAAUAUAAGUAGGGAAGCUCCUGGGAGAGCCGUCGAGAAAAGCCGCUAUUGUGUAGUCAGAGCCCGUACCGUAAACCGACACAGGUGGAUGGGGAGAGUAUCCCAAGGCCGGCGGGAGAAGCAUUGUUAAGGAACUCGGCAAAAUGGCCCCGUAAGUUCGCGAUAAGGGGUGCCUGUAGAGAUACAGGCCGCAGAGAAUAGGCUCAAGCAACUGUUUAGCAAAAACACAGGUCUAUGCGAAACCGUAAGGUGAUGUAUAUGGGCUGACGCCUGCCCGGUGCUGGAAGGUUACGGGGAGUGCUUAGGAGUAAUCCGAAGGUACGAACUUAAGCCCCAGUAAACGGCGGCCGUAACUAUAACGGUCCUAAGGUAGCGAAAUUCCUUGUCGGGUAAGUUCCGACCCGCACGAAAGGCGUAAUGAUUUGAGCGCUGUCUCAACAAUGCACCCGGUGAAAUUGAAGUACCAGUGAAGAUGCUGGUUACCUGCGCCAAGACGGAAAGACCCCAUGGAGCUUUACUCCAUCUUGGUACUGGGAUUAGAUAUAUGAUGUACAGGAUAGGUGGGAGACUAAGAAGCAGGGACGCCAGUUUCUGCGGAGUCAAUGUUGGGAUACCACCCUUCGUGUAUCUGGUUUCUAACCUUUGCCCGUUAUCCGGGCAGGGGACAAUGCCAGGAGGGGAGUUUGACUGGGGCGGUCGCCUCCGAAAGUGUAUCGGAGGCGCUCAAAGGU